GACGAACGCUGGCGGCGCGCCUAAAACAUGCAAGUCGAACGAGAAGCCCGGGCUUGCCCGGGUGGACAGUGGCGAACGGGUGAGUAACACGUGAGGAACCUGCCCCGAAGACCGGGACAACACCGGGAAACCGGUGCUAAUACCGGAUGCCUUCACCGGAUCGCAUGGUCUGGUGAAGAAAUGGAUUCCGCUUCGGGAUGGCCUCGCGGCCUAUCAGCUUGUUGGUGAGGUAACGGCUCACCAAGGCAACGACGGGUAGCUGGUCUGAGAGGAUGUCCAGCCACACUGGGACUGAGACACGGCCCAGACUCCUACGGGAGGCAGCAGUUAGGAAUCUUGCGCAAUGGACGAAAGUCUGACGCAGCGACGCCGCGUGCGGGAUGAAGGCCCUCGGGUUGUAAACCGCUUUCAGCAGGGACGAAAUUGACGGUACCUGCAGAAGAAGCCCCGGCCAACUACGUGCCAGCCGCCGCCGUAAAAC
This 481-nucleotide ribosomal RNA is filed under the name uncultured bacterium. RNAcentral describes it as "bacterial SSU rRNA". It matches the Rfam family "Bacterial small subunit ribosomal RNA", at positions 28 to 526 of the family's 1533-position model. The record is from RNAcentral.